Molecule: ribosomal RNA, 270 nt
Filed under: uncultured archaeon
Lineage: Archaea
Description: partial 16S ribosomal RNA
Rfam family: Archaeal small subunit ribosomal RNA
Source: RNAcentral
CUGCAGCUCAAGUGGUGACCACUAUUAUUGGGCCUAAAACGUUCGUAGCCGGCUGAGUAAAUGCUUGGGUAAAUCGUGCCGCUCAACGGUACGAAUUCCGGGUAGACUGUUAAACUUGAGACCGGGAGAGGCUAGAGGUACUCCUGGGGUAGAGGUGAAAUUCUGUAAUCCUAGGGGGACCACCAGUGGCGAAGGCGUCUAGCUAGAACGGGUCUGACGGUGAGGGACGAAGCCCUGGGGCGCGAACCGGAUUAGAUACCCGAGUAGUCC